RNAcentral lists this ribosomal RNA (439 nucleotides) under Salmo salar (Atlantic salmon). RNAcentral's name for it is "partial 12S ribosomal RNA". It matches the Rfam family "Bacterial small subunit ribosomal RNA", at positions 768 to 1409 of the family's 1533-position model. Lineage: Eukaryota; Metazoa; Chordata; Actinopteri; Salmoniformes; Salmonidae. The record is from RNAcentral.
UAAACUGGGAUUAGAUACCCCACUAUGCCUAGCCGUAAACUUUGAUGGAAACAUACAACUGACAUCCGCCAGGGGACUAUAAGCGCCAGCUUAAAACCCAAAGGACUUGGCGGUGCCUCAGACCCACCUAGAGGAGCCUGUUCUAGAACCGAUAACCCCCGUUCAACCUCACCACCUCUUGUUUUCCCCGCCUAUAUACCACCGUCGUCAGCUUACCCUGUGAAGGCCUUAUAGUAAGCAAAAUGGGCAAAACCCAAAACGUCAGGUCGAGGUGUAGCGCAUGGGGUGGGAAGAAAUGGGCUACAUUCUCUAAAUUAGAGCACUACGAACCACGCUGUGAAACCAGCGUCCAAAGGUGGAUUUAGCAGUAAAUAGAAAAUAGAGAGUUCUCUUGAAACUGGCUCUGAGGCGCGCACACACCGCCCGCCCGUCACCCUCA